Long non-coding RNA from Branchiostoma belcheri (Belcher's lancelet), 260 nucleotides. RefSeq lists it as uncharacterized. NCBI's taxonomy places the organism in Eukaryota, Metazoa, Chordata, Leptocardii, Amphioxiformes, Branchiostomatidae. The transcript has 3 exons. The record is from RefSeq and is a predicted model, not a curated record.
AAACAAACAUGGCGGCUUCCAUGUCGAUUUGAUGGUUUUCGUCCAUUUUCGUCGCCAUAUACGUUACUGAGGGAUUCAAUAUCAAGCAUCAUAAACAUGGGUCCUGAUGAGGAGACAUCGAACACGCUCAUAGUACGCCACCUAUCUGCUGAGCUGAGUAUUGCAGACAGGGAGGGCCUGCUGAAACACUUUGGUGCCGAGAGCGUCAAGUGUAUGUCAGACAAGGGCAGGAUGAAACAUACUGCCUUAGCAACAUUCAC